CGCAGGUGUCCUAAGAUGAGCU
RNAcentral lists this small nuclear RNA (22 nucleotides) under Arabidopsis thaliana (thale cress). RNAcentral's name for it is "snRNA_10634". Lineage: Eukaryota; Viridiplantae; Streptophyta; Magnoliopsida; Brassicales; Brassicaceae. The record is from RNAcentral.